This 499-nucleotide ribosomal RNA is filed under the name uncultured bacterium. RNAcentral's name for it is "partial 16S ribosomal RNA". It matches the Rfam family "Bacterial small subunit ribosomal RNA", at positions 29 to 523 of the family's 1533-position model. The record is from RNAcentral.
AGUGAACGCUGGCGGCAUGCCUUACACAUGCAAGUCGAACGGAUUAGAGGGGCUUGCUCCUCUAGUUAGUGGCGAACGGGUGAGUAAUGCAUCGGAACGUACCCAGUCGUGGGGGAUAACGUAGCGAAAGUUACGCUAAUACCGCAUACGAUCUGAGGAUGAAAGCAGGGGAUCGCAAGACCUUGCGCGAUUGGAGCGGCCGAUGUCGGAUUAGCUAGUUGGUAGGGUAAAAGCCUACCAAGGCGACGAUCCGUAGCUGGUCUGAGAGGACGACCAGCCACACUGGGACUGAGACACGGCCCAGACUCCUACGGGAGGCAGCAGUGGGGAAUUUUGGACAAUGGGGGAAACCCUGACCAGCCAUGCCGCGUGAGUGAAGAAGGCCUUCGGGUUGUAAAGCUCUUUCGGACAGAAAGAAAUCUUUCGGGCUAAUACCCCGGAAGGAUGACGGUACUGUAAGAAGAAGCACCGGCUAACUACGUGCCAGCCGCCGCCGUAA